This 476-nucleotide ribosomal RNA is filed under the name uncultured bacterium. Its description in RNAcentral is "partial 16S ribosomal RNA". It matches the Rfam family "Bacterial small subunit ribosomal RNA", at positions 28 to 523 of the family's 1533-position model. The record is from RNAcentral.
GAUGAACACUGGCGGCGUGCUUAACACAUGCAAGUCGAGCGAGAGAGUUCUUCGGAACAAUCUAGCGGCGGACGGGUGAGUAACACGUGGGCAACCUGCCUCAUAGAGGGGAAUAGCCUUCCGAAAGGAAGAUUAAUACCGCAUAACAUCGUUGAAGGGCAUCCUUCGAUGAUCAAAGGAGCAAUCCGCUAUGAGAUGGGCCCGCGGCGCAUUGGCUAGUGGGUGAGGUAACGGCUCACCAAGGCGACGAUGCGUAGCCGACCUGAGAGGGUGAUCGGCCACAUUGGGACUGAGACACGGCCCAGACUCCUACGGGAGGCAGCAGUGGGGAAUAUUGCACAAUGGGGGAAACCCUGAUGCAGCAACGCCGCGUGAGUGAUGACGGCCUUCGGGUUGUAAAGCUCUGUCUUUGGGGACGAUAAUGACGGUACCCAAGGAGGAAGUCACGGUUAACUACGUGCCAGCCGCCGCCGUAA